RNAcentral lists this ribosomal RNA (253 nucleotides) under uncultured bacterium. RNAcentral describes it as "partial 16S ribosomal RNA". It matches the Rfam family "Bacterial small subunit ribosomal RNA", at positions 524 to 776 of the family's 1533-position model. The record is from RNAcentral.
UACGGAGGGUGCAAGCGUUAUCCGGAUUUACUGGGUUUAAAGGGUGCGUAGGCGGGCUUUUAAGUCAGUGGUGAAAUCUCCGAGCUUAACUCGGAAAUUGCCAUUGAUACUAUUAGUCUUGAAUUAAGUUGAGGUGGGCGGAAUGUGUCAUGUAGCGGUGAAAUGCUUAGAUAUGACGCAGAACACCGAUUGCGAAGGCAGCUCGCUAAACUUAUAUUGACGCUGAGGCACGAAAGCGUGGGGAUCAAACAGG